GAUGAACGCUGGCGGCGUGCCUAAUACAUGCAAGUCGAGCGAACAGACGAGGAGCUUGCUCCUCUGACGUUAGCGGCGGACGGGUGAGUAACACGUGGAUAACCUACCUAUAAGACUGGGAUAACUUCGGGAAACCGGAGCUAAUACCGGAUAAUAUAUUGAACCUCAUGGAUCAAUAGUGAAAGACGGUUUUGCUGUCACUUAUAGAUGGAUACGCGCCGCAUCAGCUAGUUGGUAAGGUAACGGCUUACCAAGGCAAGUACGCGUAGCCGACCUGAGAGGGUGGUCGCACACACUGGAAGUGAGACACGGCCCAGACUCCUACGGUGAGCAGCAGUAGGGAAUCUUCCGCGAUGGGCGAGAGCCGGACGGAGCAACGCCGCGUGAGGGAUGAAGGUCUUCGGAUCGGAGAACUCUGUUAUUAGGGAAGAACAAAUGUGUAAGUAACUAUGCACGUCUUGACGGUACCGAAUCAGAAAGCCACGGCUAACUACGUG
RNAcentral lists this ribosomal RNA (497 nucleotides) under uncultured bacterium. Its description in RNAcentral is "partial 16S ribosomal RNA". It matches the Rfam family "Bacterial small subunit ribosomal RNA", at positions 28 to 507 of the family's 1533-position model. The record is from RNAcentral.